CAGUAGCCACGGUAAUACGAACCGUGCGAAUGUUAUUCGGAAUCACUGGGCUUAAAGCGCGUGUAGGCGGAUGGGAGCGUCGGCCUCUGAAAUCCCCCGGCUCAACCGGGGAAGUGGAGCCGAAACGACCCGUCUGGAGGGACGUAGGGGGACCUGGAACUUCCGGUGGAGCGGUGAAAUGCGUUGAGAUCGGAAGGAACGCCCGUGGCGAAAGCGAGGUCCUGGACGUCUGCUGACGCUGAGACGCGAAAGCGUGGGGAGCGAACAGGAUUAGAUACCCGAGUAGUCCCUGUCUCUUAUA
Molecule: ribosomal RNA, 301 nt
Filed under: uncultured bacterium
Lineage: Bacteria
Description: partial 16S ribosomal RNA
Rfam family: Bacterial small subunit ribosomal RNA
Source: RNAcentral